Molecule: long non-coding RNA, 429 nt
Filed under: Nicotiana benthamiana
Lineage: Eukaryota; Viridiplantae; Streptophyta; Magnoliopsida; Solanales; Solanaceae
Description: long non-coding RNA (NBEN_LNC039013)
Rfam family: Eukaryotic small subunit ribosomal RNA
Source: RNAcentral
GACAGGCCCAGGUAAUCUUUGAAAUUUCAUCGUGAGGGGAAUAGAUCAUUGCAAUUGUUGGUCGUCAACGAGGAAUUCCUAGUAAGCGCGAGUCAUCAGCUCGCGUUGACUACGUCCCUGCCCUUUGUACACACCGCCCGUCGCUCCUACCGAUUGAGAGGCCCGGGUAAUCUUUGAAAUUUCAUCGUGAUGAGGAUAGAUCAUUGCAAUUGUUGGUCUUCAACGAGGAAUUCCUAGUAAGUUAGAGUCAUCAGCUCGCGUUGACUAUGUCCCUACCGUUUGUACACACCGCCCGUUGCUCCUACCGAUUUAAUGAUCCGGUGAAAUGUUCGGAUCGCGGCGACGUGGGCGGUCCGCUGCCCGCGACGUCGCGAGAAGUCCAUUGAACCUUAUCAUUUAGAGGAAGUCGAAGUCGUAACAAGGUUGCCG